CCGAGUUAUACAACUCAUCAACCCUGUGAACAUACCUAUAACGUUGCCUCGGCGGGAACAGACGGCCCCGUAACACGGGCCGCCCCCGCCAGAGGACCCCUAACUCUGUUUCUAUAAUGUUUCUUCUGAGUAAACAAGCAAAUAAAUUA
Molecule: unclassified non-coding RNA, 149 nt
Filed under: soil metagenome
Description: partial internal transcribed spacer 1
Source: RNAcentral